RNAcentral lists this ribosomal RNA (452 nucleotides) under uncultured bacterium. RNAcentral describes it as "bacterial SSU rRNA". It matches the Rfam family "Bacterial small subunit ribosomal RNA", at positions 38 to 518 of the family's 1533-position model. The record is from RNAcentral.
GGCGGCAGGUCUUAGGCAUGCAAGUCGAACGGAUGACAGAGAGCUUGCUCUCUGAAGUCAGUGGCGCACGAGUGAGUAACGCGUGGGAAACUGCCCUUACACUGGGGAAUAACGUUUGGAAACGAACGCUAAUACCGCAUACGCCCGCAAGGGGAAAGAUUUAUCGGUGAUGGAUGUGCCCGCGUUGGAUUAGCUAGUUGGUGGGGUAAUGGCCUACCAAGGCGAUGAUCCAUAGCUGGUCUGAGAGGACGAUCAGCCACGCUGGAACUGAGACACGGUCCAGACUCCUACGGGAGGCAGCAGCUAAGAAUAUUGGGCAAUGGAGGAAACUCUGACCCAACGCCAUGCCGCGUGAAAUGAAGAAGGCCUUCGGGUUGUAAAGUUCUUUUAGUCAUGAAGAUGAUGACAGUAGUGACAGAAAAAGCACCGGCUAACUUCGUGCCAGCCGCCGC